This 631-nucleotide ribosomal RNA is filed under the name Phlegmacium papulosum. Its description in RNAcentral is "eukaryotic LSU rRNA". The stretch from base 260 to 413 matches the Rfam family "5.8S ribosomal RNA". The record is from RNAcentral. Lineage: Eukaryota; Fungi; Basidiomycota; Agaricomycetes; Agaricales; Cortinariaceae.
GUGAACCUGCGGAAGGAUCAUUAUUGAAAUAAAUCUGAUAAGUUGUUGCUGGUUCUCUAGGGAACAUGUGCACACUUGUCAUCUUUAUAUCUCCACCUGUGCACCUUUUGUAGACCUGGAUAUCUCUCUGACUGCUAGACACUCAGGUUUGGGGAUUGACUUAUGUCUUUCCUUAUAUUUCUCGGUCUAUGCUUCUUCAUAUACCCAAUUGUAUGUUAUAGAAUGUAACCAAAUGGCCUUUGUGCCUAUAAAUCUAUACAACUUUCAGCAACGGAUCUCUUGGCUCUCGCAUCGAUGAAGAACGCAGCGAAAUGCGAUAAGUAAUGUGAAUUGCAGAAUUCAGUGAAUCAUCGAAUCUUUGAACGCACCUUGCGCUCCUUGGUAUUCCGAGGAGCAUGCCUGUUUGAGUGUCAUUAAUAUAUCAAUUCUUUUCAGCUUUUGCUUGUUGAGUGUUGGAUGUGGGGGGUCAUUUUUUGCUGGUCCUUUCAGAUCAGCUCCCCUGAAAUGUAUUAGCGGAACAAUUGUAAACCGUUCAUUGGUGUGAUAACUAUCUACGCUAUUGACGUGAAGCACAGUUCAGCUUCUAACAGUCCAUUGACUUGGACAAAUUUUCAUUAAUGUGACCUCAAAU